UACGAAGGGGGCUAGCGUUGUUCGGAAUUACUGGGCGUAAAGGGCGCGUAGGCGGUGUGUCAAGUCAGGCGUGAAAGCCCCGGGCUCAACCUGGGAACCGCGCUUGAGACUGGCACGCUAGAGUUCGGGAGAGGAUGGUGGAAUUCCCAGUGUAGAGGUGAAAUUCGUAGAUAUUGGGAAGAACACCGGUGGCGAAGGCGGCUCACUGGCCAGUUUCUGACGCUGCAGCGCGAAAGCGUGGGGAUCAAACAGG
Molecule: ribosomal RNA, 253 nt
Filed under: uncultured bacterium
Lineage: Bacteria
Description: partial 16S ribosomal RNA
Rfam family: Bacterial small subunit ribosomal RNA
Source: RNAcentral